CACCUUUUCCGGGGCGGGCCGCCACCCUAUAUUGCUGGUGCCGGUUCGUCCGGCUAUGGCGCUAUACGGUCGUAUGGAAUAAGCGGAGCGGACCCGGGGGCAGUGCCCGGCGCCUCCACCACAAGCGCGGCAAGGAUCGACGGGCCGCGUUUCUGUGGGGGCGAACCAGGAUCGACGCACGUGGUAAAGGUACGGCCGGUGCCCGGCAUGGUUCCGCCGUUAUCGGGCCAAACGCAAAGUGCCAACGAUAACGAGAUGGCGCUCGCUGCCUAACUAAACCUUAGGCAAGCGCGGUUCGGGGGGCACCGGGCAACAGAAGCCCCCCACC
Molecule: transfer-messenger RNA, 328 nt
Filed under: Alphaproteobacteria bacterium
Lineage: Bacteria; Pseudomonadati; Pseudomonadota; Alphaproteobacteria
Rfam family: Alphaproteobacteria transfer-messenger RNA
About the family: Bacterial tmRNA, also known as 10Sa RNA or SsrA, is named for its dual tRNA and mRNA-like properties. Its role is to liberate the mRNA from a stalled ribosome.
Source: RNAcentral